This 310-nucleotide ribosomal RNA is filed under the name uncultured beta proteobacterium. Its description in RNAcentral is "bacterial SSU rRNA". It matches the Rfam family "Bacterial small subunit ribosomal RNA", at positions 447 to 755 of the family's 1533-position model. Lineage: Bacteria; Pseudomonadati; Pseudomonadota; Betaproteobacteria. The record is from RNAcentral.
GUCUCUGUUAAUACCAGGGGCUGAUGACGGUACCGUAAGAAUAAGCACCGGCUAACUACGUGCCAGCAGCCGCGGUAAUACGUAGGGUGCGAGCGUUAAUCGGAAUUACUGGGCGUAAAGCGUGCGCAGGCGGUCUUGUAAGACAGAUGUGAAAUCCCCGGGCUCAACCUGGGAACUGCAUUUGUGACUGCAAGGCUAGAGUGCGGCAGAGGGGGAUGGAAUUCCGCGUGUAGCAGUGAAAUGCGUAGAUAUGCGGAGGAACACCGAUGGCGAAGGCAAUCCCCUGGGCCUGCACUGACGCUCAUGCACG